RNAcentral lists this unclassified non-coding RNA (375 nucleotides) under uncultured bacterium. RNAcentral's name for it is "contains 16S-23S intergenic spacer region". The record is from RNAcentral.
UCCGGUUUGUCACCGGCAGUCUCCCUAGAGUUCUCAGCCGAACUGCUAGCAACUAGGGAUAGGGGUUGCGCUCGUUACGGGACUUAACCCAACAUCUCACGACACGAGCUGACGACGGCCAUGCAGCACCUGUGUAGGGCCCCGAAGGACACCGUAUCUCUACGGCUUUUCCCUACAUGUCAAGCCUUGGUAAGGUUCUUCGCGUCGCAUCGAAUUAAGCAACAUGCUCCGCCGCUUGUGCGGGCCCCCGUCAAUUCCUUUGAGUUUUAGCCUUGCGGCCGUACUCCCCGGGCGGGGCACUUAAUGCGUUAGCUUCGGCACGGAGGGAGUCGACACCCCCCACACCUAGUGCCCAUCGUUUACAGCGUGGACUAC